Molecule: small nucleolar RNA, 132 nt
Filed under: Microcebus murinus (gray mouse lemur)
Lineage: Eukaryota; Metazoa; Chordata; Mammalia; Primates; Cheirogaleidae
Description: Small nucleolar RNA SNORA61 (ENSMICG00000042291.1)
Rfam family: Small nucleolar RNA SNORA61
About the family: ACA61 is a member of the H/ACA class of snoRNA that guide the sites of modification of uridines to pseudouridines.
Source: Rfam by way of RNAcentral
GUCCUCCAGUUCCCUUUCCCAUCAGAUCUGAACACUGGUCUACGUGGUCAUAAAAGAAGGAAAAGUAAUACGGAAGCUGGCCUCGCAGUGUUGUAGUUUGUUAUAUAGAAUGUGGGCUAGUUUCACACAAGG